GGCGGCGUGCUUAACACAUGCAAGUCGAACGGUGAACCUUGGAGCUUGCUCUAAGGGGAUCAGUGGCGAACGGGUGAGUAACACGUGAGUAACCUGCCCCGGACUCUGGAAUAAGCGCUGGAAACGGCGUCUAAUACCGGAUACGAGACGCAACCGCAUGGUUAGUGUCUGGAAAGUUUUUCGGUCUGGGAUGGACUCGCGGCCUAUCAGCUUGUUGGUGAGGUAAUGGCUCACCAAGGCGACGACGGGUAGCCGGCCUGAGAGGGCGACCGGCCACACUGGGACUGAGACACGGCCCAGACUCCUACGGGAGGCAGCAGUGGGGAAUAUUGCACAAUGGGCGAAAGCCUGAUGCAGCGACGCCGCGUGAGGGAUGACGGCCUUCGGGUUGUAAACCUCUUUCAGCAGGGAAGAAGCGAAAGUGACGGUACCUGCAGAAGAAGCACCGGCUAACUACGUGCCAGCAGCCGCGGUAAUACGUAGGGUGCGAGCGUUGUCCGGAAUUAUUGGGCGUAAAGAGCUUGUAGGCGGUUUGUCGCGUCUGCUGUGAAAAUCCGGGGCUCAACCCCGGACUUGCAGUGGGUACGGGCAGACUAGAGUGUGGUAGGGGAGACUGGAAUUCCUGGUGUAGCGGUGAAAUGCGCAGAUAUCAGGAGGAACACCGAUGGCGAAGGCAGGUCUCUGGGCCACUACUGACGCUGAGAAGCGAAAGCAUGGGGAGCGAACAGGAUUAGAUACCCUGGUAGUCCAUGCCGUAAACGUUGGGCGCUAGGUGUGGGACUCAUUCCACGAGUUCCGUGCCGCAGCUAACGCAUUAAGCGCCCCGCC
RNAcentral lists this ribosomal RNA (828 nucleotides) under Janibacter sp. RKEM 1825. Its description in RNAcentral is "bacterial SSU rRNA". It matches the Rfam family "Bacterial small subunit ribosomal RNA", at positions 38 to 873 of the family's 1533-position model. Lineage: Bacteria; Bacillati; Actinomycetota; Actinomycetes; Micrococcales; Intrasporangiaceae. The record is from RNAcentral.